AACCGAGAUUCCGCAAGUAGUGGCGAGCGAACGCGGAGGAGGCCAAACCGGUGGAUUUAUUCACCGGGGUUCGGACUGGCAUCACGAUCAGAGGUAUCUAGAAGAACGGCAUGGGAAGGCCGGCCAUAGAGGGUGAGAGCCCCGUAUUUGAAAGAGAAGACUGACAGCCAGAAUCCAGAGUACCGCGGGACACGUGAAACCCCGUGGGAAGAUGGGUGGACCACCAUCCAAGCCUAAAUACUACCUGAUGACCGAUAGAGGAGCAGUACCGUGAGGGAAAGGUGAAAAGGACCCCGGGAGGGGAGUGAAAGAGAACCUGAAACCUUGUGCCUACAAGCACAUAGAGCCCGUCAAAGGGUGAUAUGGUACUUUUUGUAGAACGGUCCGGCGAGCGAUUGUACGUUGCGAGCUUAAGGUCUUAAGGACUGGAGGCGUAGCGAGAGCGAGUCUAAACAGGGCGUUUAGUAGCGUGCAAUGGGCCCGAAACCGGGUGACCUACCCAUGAUCAGGCUGAAGUGAAAGUAAAAUUUCAUGGAGGGCCGAACCGACCUCCGUUGAAAAGGCGGCGGAUGAAUUGUGGGUAGCGGAGAAAUUCCAAUCGAACUCGGAGAUAGCUGGUUCUCCCCGAAAUAGCUUUAGGGCUAGCCUCAUGUUAGAUAUCCGGAGGUAAAGCACUGAAUGGCCUAGCGUCCGAGAGGAUAGCGAAGCCUAUCAAACUAAGAAUGCCGGAAUAUUGAUGCAUGGGAGUCAGACAGUGUGAGAUAAAUCUCAUUGUCAAAAGGGAAACAGCCCAGAUCUACAGCUAAGGUCCCAAAUUGUAUCUAAGUGGAAAACGAUGUGGAAAUACGCAGACAACCAGGAUGUUGGCUCAGAAGCAGCCACUCAUUUAAAGAGUGCGUAAUAGCUCACUGGUCGAGCGUCUCUGCGCGGAAAAUUUAACGGGGCUAAGAUACAAACCGAAGCUUAGGCUGCACUUUUAGUGCGGGGUAGGGGAGCGUUGUGUAAGCGGAGAAACAGUAGCGGAAGCGGCUGUGGAGUUUACAGAAGUGAGAAUGCCGGAAUGAGUAGCGCGAAUGAUGUGAGAAUCAUCAUGGCCGGAAACCUCAGGUUUUUGGAGGAAGGUUCGUCCGCUCCAAGUUAGGCGGGAGCUAAGGUGAGGCCGAAAGGCGUAGCCGAUGCACAGACGGUAGAGAUUCCGUCCCCACCGAAAGAUUUAAGCGCAGGGACACUUUUAGAAGGUCGGAGCCAGGUGUUGGUUCUGGUAGAGAUCGAGGGAAGAUUAGUACCGAAGUCCGGCUGGAUAAGAGGCGAGAAAAGCUGCGUGUAUAUCUAAGGUGCCCGUACCGCAAACCGACACAGGUAGGUAGGAAGAAGAUUCUAAGGCCAACGGGAGAAGGGUUGUUAAGGAACUCGGCAAGUUGACCCCGUAACUUCGGAAUAAGGGGUGCUCAUGAAAGUGAGCCGCAGAGAAUAGGCCCAGGCAACUGUUUACCAAAAACACAGGUUUGUGCUAAAUCGAAAGAUGACGUAUACGAGCUGACGCCUGCCCGGUGCUGGAAGGUUAAAAGGAGAUGUGCAAGCAUUGAAUUGAAGCCCCAGUGAACGGCGGCCGUAACUAUAACGGUCCUAAGGUAGCGAAAUUCCUUGUCAGGUAAGUUCUGACCCGCAUGAAAGGCGUAAUGAUCUGGGCACUGUCUCAACAGCCCGCCCGGCGAAAUUGUAGUACCGGUGAAGAUGCCGGUUACCCGCGACAAGACGGAAAGACCCCAUGGAGCUUUACUGUAGCCUAAUAUUGGGUUUCGGUGUUGCAUGCACAGGAUAGAUGGGACGCUAGGAAGUGAGUGCUUUGGCAUUCAUGGAGCGGCCGUUGGGAUACCAUCCUUGCGACAUUGGAAUUCUAACCUGCGCCUUUGAAUCAAGGCGGGGGACAUUGUUAGGUGGGCAGUUUGACUGGGGCGGUCGCCUCCUAAAGAGUAGCGGAGGCGUUCAAAGGUUGGCUCGUCCUGGACGGAAACCAGGAGAGAGAGUGCAAACGCAAAAGCCAGCCUGACUGCGAGACUGACGGGUCGAGCAGAGACGAAAGUCGGAGUUAGUGAUCCGGUGGUAUGUGAGUGGAAAUGCCAUCGCUCAACGGAUAAAAGCUACCCUGGGGAUAACAGGCUGAUCUCCCCCAAGAGU
This 2178-nucleotide ribosomal RNA is filed under the name human gut metagenome. Its description in RNAcentral is "bacterial LSU rRNA". It matches the Rfam family "Bacterial large subunit ribosomal RNA", at positions 227 to 2499 of the family's 2925-position model. The record is from RNAcentral.